RNAcentral lists this microRNA (23 nucleotides) under Branchiostoma floridae (Florida lancelet). Its description in RNAcentral is "bfl-miR-184-5p". Its record names the gene bfl-miR-184-5p. Lineage: Eukaryota; Metazoa; Chordata; Leptocardii; Amphioxiformes; Branchiostomatidae. RNAcentral also lists the same sequence under 1 other name. The record is from miRBase by way of RNAcentral.
CCCUUAUCACUUCUUCCGCCGAG